UGGGGAAUAUUGGACAAUGGGCGCAAGCCUGAUCCAGCCAUGCCGCGUGAGUGAUGAAGGCCUUAGGGUUGUAAAGCUCUUUCGCCGGUGAAGAUAAUGACGGUAACCGGAGAAGAAGCCCCGGCUAACUUCGUGCCAGCAGCCGCGGUAAUACGAAGGGGGCUAGCGUUGCUCGGAAUCACUGGGCGUAAAGCGCACGUAGGCGGAUCGUUAAGUCAGGGGUGAAAUCCUGGAGCUCAACUCCAGAACUGCCCUUGAUACUGGCGAUCUCGAGUUCGAGAGAGGUUGGUGGAACUCCGAGUGUAGAGGUGAAAUUCGUAGAUAUUCGGAAGAAACACCAGUGGCGAAGGCGGCCAAACUGGCUCGAUACUGACGCUGAGGUGCGAAAGCGUGGGGAGCAAAACAGGAUUAGAUACCCUGGUAGUCCACGCCGUAAAACGAUGGAUGCUAGCCGUUGGGGGGUUUACCUCUCAGUGGCGCAGCUAACGCCUUAAGCAUCCCGCCUGGGGAGUACGGUCGCAAGAUUAAAAACUCAAAGGAAUUGACGGGGUCAUAGCUGUUUCCU
RNAcentral lists this ribosomal RNA (565 nucleotides) under uncultured bacterium. RNAcentral's name for it is "partial 16S ribosomal RNA". It matches the Rfam family "Bacterial small subunit ribosomal RNA", at positions 355 to 1375 of the family's 1533-position model. The record is from RNAcentral.